RNAcentral lists this long non-coding RNA (294 nucleotides) under Gallus gallus (chicken). Lineage: Eukaryota; Metazoa; Chordata; Aves; Galliformes; Phasianidae. The record is from RNAcentral.
GCCAUCCUGCCCCACGUUGGUCUGUCCUCUCACUACAGUUCGAAUGUUGUCAUCCAACUUCCUUAUUUUCAAUCUGAUUUUGUUGACAACUUCAUCGAUGUUUGCCAAAGAUUGCUCAGUGGGAAAGAGAGUGUUAAUAUACUCCACAGCAUUGAAAUCUGCUCUGUCCAGGGGGUCUUGGCUGGGAAAUACCUGCUCGAUGGCGGCCUGCACGGCGGGGGCCAACUCCAGCGCCGCCUCCAGCCCGGCCGCCAGCUCCAGCUCGUCCUCCUCCAUGGCGCCGCGCCGCUUCCG